This 353-nucleotide unclassified non-coding RNA is filed under the name soil metagenome. RNAcentral's name for it is "partial contains 5.8S ribosomal RNA, internal transcribed spacer 2, and large subunit ribosomal RNA". The stretch from base 1 to 120 matches the Rfam family "5.8S ribosomal RNA", at positions 35 to 154 of the family's 154-position model. The record is from RNAcentral.
GAUGAAGAACGUAUCGAAAUGCGAUAAGUAAUGUGAAUUGCAGAAUUCAGUGAAUCAUCGAAUCUUUGAACGCACAUUGCGCCCGCCAGUAUUCUGGCGGGCAUGCCUGUUCGAGCGUCAUUACAACCCUCAGGCCCCCGGGCCUGGCGUUGGGGAUCGGCGGAAGCCCCCUGCGGGCACAACGCCGUCCCCCAAAUACAGUGGCGGUCCCGCCGCAGCUUCCAUUGCGUAGUAGCUAACACCUCGCAACUGGAGAGCGGCGCGGCCACGCCGUAAAACACCCAACUUCUGAAUGUUGACCUCGAAUCAGGUAGGAAUACCCGCUGAACUUAAGCAUAUCAAUAAGCGGAGGA